RNAcentral lists this long non-coding RNA (209 nucleotides) under Elaeis guineensis (African oil palm). Its description in RNAcentral is "long non-coding RNA (EGUI_LNC065130)". The record is from RNAcentral. Lineage: Eukaryota; Viridiplantae; Streptophyta; Magnoliopsida; Arecales; Arecaceae.
CCAUCUCACAUCCAUUAGAAAAUCUCACACCUUCUGAUGAAUUAUCAUACCUAUCUGAAAGUUUUUGACACAUGGAAAUCAUCAAAAAAAAAUCAAAGAGAUGCUUCAUGCAGAAGGACUCUUCGAAAUAUUUUCUCGAUAAUUCUCCGAUGAGUCGCACAGCUUCCCAUGGCAUAAUUUUUUUCCAUCACCCAUCAAUAUAAUUUGGU